Alligator mississippiensis (American alligator) is the source of this 3094-nucleotide long non-coding RNA. RefSeq lists it as uncharacterized. Lineage: Eukaryota; Metazoa; Chordata; Crocodylia; Alligatoridae. The transcript has 2 exons. The record is from RefSeq and is a predicted model, not a curated record.
UACGUGGUUCUCUACAGAAGUAAAAGCAGCCAAGUCCUUCCGUUACUCACACAGUAUAUCUUGACAGCCUAUGGGCACAGCUGGGAUUUGAAAGCAAUGCUGUAGCACCAAUACCACAUUUAAGGAUGGUUCCUCAUGUAAGGGUUAGGCAGUGUAGCAAUAACCCCAUCUGUUGAACUAGCCCUUAGCUCCCUGGCAGUUCUACCUAGGCAUUGUCCACUGCUUCCUCAGAGUCACCUGCAACUGAGAUGCUUUUUGGCAGAAGCCUUACCCACCCUGAGGCCAUGACUGGGCAAUGUCUCUGCUUCCUAGGAAUUUGGAGGGAAUUUCACAAGGUAUUGUGGGACCCCAGCCUCUUCUGCAAACCCUUUAGGCCAGGGGGUGACAGGCCAAAAUAAGGCAGCUGGAUCCAAAGGCAGGCCACCACUUGUGACCCAGUCACUGCCACUGCAACUCCAAGCUGCCUGCCCCAGAACUCCCUGCUCUGUGCCAACAGUUCUCCUACCCCCUACUGCAGCUGCUGCCACUGCUACCCCUCACCCUGGUUCCUAUCACCACUGACUGCAGCCAGAGACACAUUCGGUGAUGAGAGGAGUGAGGACAGGGUACACAAGGGAGGGCAGGGAUGGAGGCAGACAGCACUGCAAAAAGACUAUUCGGGGCAGAGGAACACUAUUGCACCUUUCUCCCCAGCUGCAGAAUUACUACCAAUGUCCUGGCUCUGCCAGCUGAAUGCAAUUGCUUGAAAGGCUGGAUCUGGCCAGUGAGCCAUCGGUGACCAACCAUUCCUGCCAUUCCAGGGUCCCAGAAGACCUGCUGGGAUCUCCCACAAGCUGCUACUUUAGGGAACUGUGGAACAGCUACCCCAAGGGUGUGUGACCAUGAUGCAAGUAUGGAUGCAAGGUACCUGAAACAGCACGGUCAUGGUCUUAGAAGACAAAGCUCCAUGGCUUUGAGUGCCUACCUGAAUCCCACCAACACAGGCACUAACAAUGGCACGGUAAUCGUAAGCUGAGCAGAGUGGGCAGGCUUCAGCAGUCUCCCACAGAAAAUGGAAGGUACACCCAUCACAGGUUCCAUCAGAGCACUUCCUGUCAGAAGAAAGGAGGAGGAUUACCCUUAGCACUCAGCCAGCACAUCACACAUGGAUUAACUUACAGAAAAGGGCAGCCUGGUGGGUCUCUAGGCCAAUUAUGAUGCUGAAGCCAGACAGUGCACCAGUAUAGCUUCAGCAAAAGUCAAAAUGAGAGGUGCUCCGCACUCCUGAAUUAAAAAAAACAAACUUCUGGGCCUCACUCUGGCCACCUGAACUCAGUAUUCGCUUAUGAUAAUGAAGCUAUUUCUGGGUGAUUCAGGAUCCCAUAUUAUUCCCACAGGGGCAGGCUUGGAGAGGAACCGUGAGCUUGCCCCACCCCUCUUCAUGCCUAGUAAGGGAAAGUGCAUGAUAUUCAGCAACUGGGUUUACAACAUUGCAUUUAUUUACGAUGGAACAGAGCACACUACAGCAGAUACGGAUGAUGCCAGAGGAGAAGGGAGAGAGACGGGGAGAUGAGAGCAGAGGCAGGUGGCAGCCUGCGGCAAGCCUCUAGGGAAACCAGGGAGGUGCACAGGCCCCAGACUGCUUCUAGCAGAAUCCCCAGCAGCUUUGUGAGGCCUUCAGGACAAGGGCCAGUGUGUGUCCAAGCAGAAGCCAGCUGGCUUGUAUCAAGUCUCGUCUUCAUCCACACUCCCAGCUUAAAAAGCUCCUGUGGGUUGAGUGAAGUUGCAAAAGCCAGCUGCUCUGCAAAGGCUGCAGGCCUAGUGAGACAAGGAACUGCUUCUCCUUCCUUUCUGAGGAAGCAGUCGUCCUGGUGCUGCAUGCAGGGAAACCCCUCCAGGCCCUAUGACUUCCAUUUAUCCAGCCCAAACCAUCCUGGGAUCGAAGCGUUAUUCUCCAUCAGCAAGACCUUGUGACAGAGAAGGCUAAACCUGGCUUGAGACACUUCUACUCUAUGGCCUGUUUGAUGCUCUCAGCAUGAAGAGAGAGGAAGUAACUACGGUCCACAGCAUGCAACGCUCCUCCUUUAGCCAAGCUGUUCAACACCAUCACCAAGGACGGCACAUGUAGUUUCAGGUGGCCAUUGGCCAAAAUUUUAACCCAGCUCGAAGUGGGCAUACAUGCACUAUGGUGGUUAAGCAUGUAAGAAGCAUGUACACUGGCAUCCUGUGUAUAUUAUGGCUCCUGCUGUCAUUUGCAGCAUCAGUCCUGGUGACUUUCAGGAGGUCCAUUUUCUCAGAAUCAAGGCAACUUGCAAUACGCUCCAUCGCAUGCCAGGAGGCCAUGGCCCUCCAUUAGCUGGCAAGGUGCCAGUACCACCCUGACAUUGGCAACCUGAGGGCACUUGACCUACCAAGAGGCCUGAUGAAAAUAACUGCAUCUGGAGGGAGAGGCAGCCCUUCCCGCAUGCUGCUUUAUCUGCAUCAUUCAGAAAAAAGGGUGAUCAUUUCUACCUUGGCAUGGAGAGUGUUCCCGAGCCGGUCUUCAGAGGGUUGCAGCGCAUGCGGAUGGCAGUGGCCCUUCCAGAAUUACAUGACUGAGUCACAUCAUUAGAUCUGCCCAUUAAGGAAAUAAACAGAGCCUUUGGUAUCAUCCUGCUAUCCAGCACGUCCCACCUGUACAUACCAACGCACCUGACUAGCGGAAAGGUCCUUGUCCUAUGAUUGUAUCUGGUUCAUAGGCUGCAUAGGACAUGGAGGGGUCAUCGUUGUUUCCCACCUUCCACCCUCCCUAAGGCCUGGGUACUGCCAAAGCCGGUGUGUGAAUGGAACUGUGGUUCCCUUGCUCCUGGGAUAAACGGUGGGUUGGGGAAGUGACUUUCUUACAUGCUUCUUCAGGGCUUGGAAAAGCUCCAGACUGGGGAGCUGGGGUGACAUUGUGGGCAAUAUUGAGUGCCAUGUGUGGGACACGUGUGCUUCUCACUGUGCUUGACCUCCAUCUAGCAUGGCUGCCCCAUUACCUGUAGAAGAAUAUUACUUCAGGCACCACGACAUUCUCAGUAGGGAAGUAGUCAGGAGGGGAGGUGAUGUGGUCCACGGUCGUCUCAGUUGUCACUCC